This is a small nuclear RNA of Ochotona princeps (American pika), 102 nucleotides long. The record is from Ensembl. NCBI's taxonomy places the organism in Eukaryota, Metazoa, Chordata, Mammalia, Lagomorpha, Ochotonidae.
GUGCUUGCUUCGGCAGCACAUAUACUAAAACUGGAAUAGAAAAGAUUAGCAUGGCUCCUGAGCAAGGAUGACACAUACAUUUGUGAAGCAUUCCAUAUUUUA